UACGGUAGGGGGCAAGCGUUGUCCGGAAUCAUUGGGCGUAAAGAGCGUGUAGGCGGUCCGGUCAGUCGGUUGUGAAAGUCAAGGGCUCAACCCUUGAAUGCCGGCCGAUACUGCCGGGCUAGAGUCCGGAAGAGGUGAGUGGAAUUCCUGGUGUAGCGGUGGAAUGCGCAGAUAUCAGGAGGAACACCGGUGGCGAAGGCGGGUCUCUGGGCAGUAACUGACGCUGAGGAGCGAAAGCGUGGGGAGCGAACAGG
RNAcentral lists this ribosomal RNA (254 nucleotides) under uncultured bacterium. RNAcentral's name for it is "partial 16S ribosomal RNA". It matches the Rfam family "Bacterial small subunit ribosomal RNA", at positions 524 to 776 of the family's 1533-position model. The record is from RNAcentral.